RNAcentral lists this ribosomal RNA (897 nucleotides) under uncultured delta proteobacterium. RNAcentral describes it as "bacterial SSU rRNA". It matches the Rfam family "Bacterial small subunit ribosomal RNA", at positions 30 to 916 of the family's 1533-position model. The record is from RNAcentral. Lineage: Bacteria; Deltaproteobacteria.
CAAAAACGGGCGCUUACCAUGCAGUCGCACGAGAAAGGGCUUCGGCCCCGGUACAGUGGCGCACGGGUGAGUAACACGUAGGUAAUCUAUCCUUGGGUGGUGGAUAACUCCUCGAAAGGGGGGCUAAUACAGCAUGAGACCACGACGGGAAGGACGUUGAGGUCAAAGGGUGCAUAUGCAAGCAAGCACUCGCCUGAGGAUGAGCCUGCGGCCCAUCAGCUAGUUGGUAGGGUAACGGCCUACCAAGGCAAAGACGGGUAGCCGGUCUGAGAGGAUGAUCGGCCACACUGGAACUGAGACACGGUCCAGACUCCUACGGGAGGCAGCAGUGAGGAAUUUUGCGCAAUGGGCGAAAGCCUGACGCAGCGACGCCGCGUGGGUGAUGAAGGCCUUCGGGUUGUAAAGCCCUGUGGGGAGGGAAGAAUAAGGGUGUUCGAAUAGGGCAUCUGAUGACGGUACCUCCUUAGCAAGCACCGGCUAACUCUGUGCCAGCAGCCGCGGUAAGACAGAGGGUGCAAACGUUGUUCGGAAUUACUGGGCGUAAAGCGCGUGUAGGCGGCCUAGCAAGUCGGGUGUGAAAGCCCUUGGCUCAACUGAGGAAGAGCAUUCGAAACUGCGAGGCUUGAGUUCCGGAGAGGAUGGUGGAAUUCUCGGUGUAGAGGUGAAAUUCGUAGAUAUCGAGAGGAACACCGGUGGCGAAGGCGGCCAUCUGGACGGAAACUGACGCUGAGACGCGAAAGCAUGGGGAGCAAACAGGAUUAGAUACCCUGGUAGUCCAUGCCGUAAACGAUGGGUGCUAGGUGUCGCGAGCAUGACACUCGCGGUGCCGAAGCCAACGCAUUAAGCACCCCGCCUGGGGAGUACGGCCGCAAGGCUAAAACUCAAAGGAAUUGACGG